RNAcentral lists this transfer RNA (82 nucleotides) under Leguminivora glycinivorella. RNAcentral describes it as "tRNA-Ser". It matches the Rfam family "tRNA". From Rfam's summary of the family: Transfer RNA (tRNA) molecules are approximately 80 nucleotides in length. Their secondary structure includes four short double-helical elements and three loops (D, anti-codon, and T loops). The record is from RNAcentral. Lineage: Eukaryota; Metazoa; Arthropoda; Insecta; Lepidoptera; Tortricidae.
GCUGAAGUGUCCGAGUGGUUAAGGAGUUGGACUUGAAAUCCAAUGGGUACUACCCGCGCAGGUUCGAAUCCUGUCCUCAGCG